CCUACGGGGGGCAGCAGUAGGGAAUUUUCGUCAAUGGGCGCAAGCCUGAACGAGCAAUGCCGCGUGACCGAGGAAGGUCUUCGGAUCGUAAAGUUCUGUUGAAGGGGAAAAAGAGCGGAGAGAGGAAAUGAACUCCGAUUGAUAUUACCCUUCGAGGAAGUCACGGCUACCUACGUGCCAGCAGCCGCGGUAAUACGUAGGUGGCGAGCGUUAUCCGGAAUGAUUGGGCGUAAAGGUGGCGUAGGCGGCCUGCUAAGUCUGGAGUGAAAGGUACCGGCUCAACCGGUACAGGCUCUGGAAACUGGCGGGCUAGAGAGCAGGAGAGGGCGGUGGAACUCCAUGUGUAGCGGUAAAAUGCGUAGAUAUAUGGAAGAACACCAGUGGCGAAGGCGGCCGCCUGGCCUGUUACUGACGCUGAGGCACGAAAGCGUGGGGAGCAAAUAGGAUUAGAUACCCGUGUAGUC
This 464-nucleotide ribosomal RNA is filed under the name uncultured bacterium. RNAcentral describes it as "partial 16S ribosomal RNA". It matches the Rfam family "Bacterial small subunit ribosomal RNA", at positions 338 to 795 of the family's 1533-position model. The record is from RNAcentral.